GCUCCCGGCGGGCGUGUGCAGCCCGCAGAUUCAGGACGACCCGGCUGCCAGGCUUAGCGCCUUUGGAGCUCCGCGCUGAAGGGGCCUUGCUCCGCACAGGCACGGCACGCAAGCUUUUGGGGUGCCCAGUGGCUCUGUUUUCAAGUCAGCCGGCCCGCAGGGUGCGGACCUUUCCACAUCUCACUUGGGCCGCUAGAAAAUAGAAGGUGGGGAAGGAGUUUCUUGGGGUGCAUUCUGCAAGCUACCAGCCUCCCUCCUGGCCCAAGAGGCUUCGUGACGGAGUUAUCAGAGACAUUGAGAGGCAAAUUCGGAAAAAAGAAAACAUUCGUCUUUUAGGAGAACAGAUUAUUUUGACUGAGCAACUUGAAGCAGAAAGAGAGAAGAUGUUAUUGGCAAAAGGAUCUCAAAAAUCAUGACUUGAAUGUGAAAUAUCUGUUGGACAGACAACACGGGUUUGUGUGUGUGUGUUGAUGGAGAGUA
RNAcentral lists this small RNA (480 nucleotides) under Pan troglodytes (chimpanzee). Its description in RNAcentral is "processed transcript". The record is from RNAcentral. Lineage: Eukaryota; Metazoa; Chordata; Mammalia; Primates; Hominidae.